RNAcentral lists this ribosomal RNA (509 nucleotides) under uncultured bacterium. Its description in RNAcentral is "bacterial SSU rRNA". It matches the Rfam family "Bacterial small subunit ribosomal RNA", at positions 28 to 530 of the family's 1533-position model. The record is from RNAcentral.
GAUGAACGCUAGCGGGAGGCUUAACACAUGCAAGUCGAGGGGCAGCACGGGAUAGCAAUAUUCUGGUGGCGACCGGCGCACGGGUGAGUAACACGUAUGCAACCUACCUCGUACAGGGGGAUAACCCGGAGAAAUUCGGACUAAUAUCCCAUAAUGAUAUUGAGAGGCAUCUUUUAAUAUUUAAAGCUCAGGCGGUACGGGAUGGGCAUGCGGAACAUUAGCUAGUUGGCAGGGUAACGGCCUACCAAGGCUGCGAUGUUUAGGGGACCUGAGAGGGUUAUCCCCCACACUGGUACUGAGACACGGACCAGACUCCUACGGGAGGCAGCAGUGAGGAAUAUUGGUCAAUGGGCGCAAGCCUGAACCAGCCAUCCCGCGUGAAGGAAGAAGGCGCUAUGCGUUGUAAACUUCUUUUCCAGGGGGAGAAUUUUUCCGUCGUGACGGGAAUUGACGGUACUCUGGGAAUAAGCAUCGGCUAACUCCGUGCCAGCAGCCGCGGUAAAACGUAG